RNAcentral lists this ribosomal RNA (468 nucleotides) under uncultured bacterium. RNAcentral describes it as "partial 16S ribosomal RNA". It matches the Rfam family "Bacterial small subunit ribosomal RNA", at positions 28 to 507 of the family's 1533-position model. The record is from RNAcentral.
GACGAACGCUGGCGGCGUGCUUAACACAUGCAAGUCGAACGGAAUGGCCCUGCUUUUGUGGGGUGCUCGAGUGGCGAACGGGUGAGUAACACGUGAGUAACCUGCCCUUGACUUUGGGAUAACUUCAGGAAACUGGGGCUAAUACCGGAUAGGAGCUCCUGCUGCAUGGUGGGGGUUGGAAAGUUUCGGCGGUUGGGGAUGGACUCGCGGCUUAUCAGCUUGUUGGUGGGGUAGUGGCUUACCAAGGCUUUGACGGGUAGCCGGCCUGAGAGGGUGACCGGCCACAUUGGGACUGAGAUACGGCCCAGACUCCUACGGGAGGCAGCAGUGGGGAAUAUUGCACAAUGGGCGGAAGCCUGAUGCAGCAACGCCGCGUGCGGGAUGACGGCCUUCGGGUUGUAAACCGCUUCCGCCUGUGACGAAGCGUGAGUGACGGUAAUGGGUAAAGAAGCACCGGCUAACUACGUG